AAGGAAUAUUGCUCAAUGGGAGAAAUCCUGAAGCAGCAACGCCGCGUGGAGGAUGAAGGGUCUAUGACUUGUAAACUCCUGUAAAGAAGGAAAAAAUUCCCAUUAGAUGGGAGAUGAUGGUACUUCUGGAGUAAGCCCCGGCUAACUACGUGCCAGCAGCCGCGGUAAUACGUAGGGGGCAAGCGUUGUCCGGCUUUACUGGGUGUAAAGGGUGCUCAGGCGGAUUUGUAAGUCAGAGGUGAAAUCUUACAGCUUAACUGUGAAACUGCCUUGUAUACUGCAAGCCUAGAGUAUGGAAGAGGGUGAUGUAAUAUCUGGUGUAGCAGUGAAAUGCGUAGAUAUCAGAUAGAACACCAAUGUCGAAGGCAGUCACUUGGUCCAUUACUGACGCUAAAGCACGAAGGCGUGGGGAGCAAACA
Molecule: ribosomal RNA, 419 nt
Filed under: uncultured bacterium
Lineage: Bacteria
Description: bacterial SSU rRNA
Rfam family: Bacterial small subunit ribosomal RNA
Source: RNAcentral